AGUGCCCGCGCCAGCCGAGGGUCCCGCGCUCCCUCCAGGAGGCGGGGCACGAGGGGGGCGGGGCGAUCUCGAGGCCCCGCCUUGCCCUUGGCGGCGCUGGGCCAUGCGGAGGCCCACGUUCAAAAGAAGAGGCUGUUCUAAGAAAGACUACUGAGUAAUCAAUCACCUCCUCAGAGAAAGUCUGCUCAGGUAACUCUACUCCCACCAGCCCUGCACUUGGUUCCUUGCAUUGCCUCUGGCUGGAAGCUGUUGUCCCCAACUUCAGAAAGUGUCUGCAGAUCUCACAGGCUCUCUCUUGGGUCAAGGUAAGACUUCAGCCAGUUCCCCUUGUAAACAGAAGGUAGUGACACGCAGGUAUUGAGUUUCCAUUUUGAUCUUUUGCCCUUGUUAACACGUUGC
Molecule: long non-coding RNA, 399 nt
Organism: Nomascus leucogenys (northern white-cheeked gibbon)
Lineage: Eukaryota; Metazoa; Chordata; Mammalia; Primates; Hylobatidae
Source: RefSeq, a predicted model, not a curated record